GACGAACGCUGGCGGCGCGCUUAACACAUGCAAGUCGAACGGAAAGGCCUGCUUUCCCUUGUGGAUUGCGGGUACUCGAGUGGCGAACGGGUGAGUAACACGUGAGUGAUCUGCCCCCAACUUGGGUAUAAGCCUGGGAAACUGGGUCUAAUUCCCGAUAGGACUGCAGGGUGGUGCCUGUGGUGGAAAACGAUUUUCUAGUGGUUGGGGAUGAGCUCGCGGCCUAUCAGCUUGUUGGUGGGGUAAUGGCCUACCAGGGCGGCGACGGGUAGCCGGCCUGAGAGGGUGGACGGCCACAUUGGGACUGAGAUACGGCCCAGACUCCUACGGGAGGCAGCAGUGGGGAAUAUUGCACAAUGGGCGGAAGCCUGAUGCAGCGACGCCGCGUGGGGGAUGACGGCCUUCGGGUUGUAAACUCCUUUCGACCGCGAGGAAGCCACCUGGUUGGAAGGGUGGUGACGGUAGUGGUAGAAGAAGCACCGGCUAACUACGUG
Molecule: ribosomal RNA, 494 nt
Filed under: uncultured bacterium
Lineage: Bacteria
Description: partial 16S ribosomal RNA
Rfam family: Bacterial small subunit ribosomal RNA
Source: RNAcentral